Long non-coding RNA from Chenopodium quinoa (quinoa), 426 nucleotides. RefSeq lists it as uncharacterized. The transcript is spliced from 2 exons. The record is from RefSeq and is a predicted model, not a curated record. Lineage: Eukaryota; Viridiplantae; Streptophyta; Magnoliopsida; Caryophyllales; Amaranthaceae.
UCGAGGGUGGUGAAACCCUUUGCUGUAGAAAUUUGUGAUGCGUUUGGGCUUUGGGAUCUCAUUCUCCCCUAUGUCGAUUAUGAAAAUUGUAACAGAAGCAUGCUGAAAAUCUAAAUGCACUCCUUUUUUCUGAAUUUUGAUCAUAAUUAGAUCCAUGAAUCUUUUAUGUAUUUGGUAUUGCCUUAAUUGAAGUUUGAUGCCUGAGGUCUGAGGAUAACAGUAGGUUUUGUAAUAUUCCUUGGAAUAACAGUUGGUAUUCUAGAGAUGGCCGAGCUUUCACUUGAUGAACCCGAGAUGGAAAGUAUGAUUUUUGAUGAUGUACUUGAUGGUGAAGAAUGAAACUAUUAGUACUUAUGUUUAUUUUAUUUAUGAUUUGUAAAACUACUUAAUAUUAAGACAUGUAUUUGGUUUGAUGGUUUCUUCCUA